AGUGAACGCUGGCGGUAGGCCUAACACAUACAAGUCGAACGGCAGCACAGUAAGAGCUUGCUCUUACGGGUGGCGAGUGGCGGACGGGUGAGGAAUACAUCGGAAUCUACUUUUUCGUGGGGGAUAACGUAGGGAAACUUACGCUAAUACCGCAUACGACCUACGGGUGAAAGCAGGGGAUCUUCGGACCUUGCGCGAUUGAAUGAGCCGAUGUCGGAUUAGCUAGUUGGCGGGGUAAAGGCCCACCAAGGCGACGAUCCGUAGCUGGUCUGAGAGGAUGAUCAGCCACACUGGAACUGAGACACGGUCCAGACUCCUACGGGAGGCAGCAGUGGGGAAUAUUGGACAAUGGGCGCAAGCCUGAUCCAGCCAUACCGCGUGGGUGAAGAAGGCCUUCGGGUUGUAAAGCCCUUUUGUUGGGAAAGAAAGGCAGCAGGUUAAUACCCCGCUGUUCUGACGGUACCCAAAGAAUAAGCACCGGCUAACUUCGUG
This 492-nucleotide ribosomal RNA is filed under the name uncultured bacterium. RNAcentral's name for it is "partial 16S ribosomal RNA". It matches the Rfam family "Bacterial small subunit ribosomal RNA", at positions 29 to 507 of the family's 1533-position model. The record is from RNAcentral.